Molecule: small nuclear RNA, 103 nt
Organism: Gorilla gorilla gorilla (western lowland gorilla)
Lineage: Eukaryota; Metazoa; Chordata; Mammalia; Primates; Hominidae
Source: Ensembl
GUGCUUGCUUCAGAAGCAUAUAUACUAAAAUUGUAAUACAGAGAAGUUAGUAUGGCCCUGUGCAAGGAUUUAAAACAAUUUUUUUUAAGGUUUGCAAAUGUUU